Molecule: long non-coding RNA, 1198 nt
Filed under: Fragaria vesca (wild strawberry)
Lineage: Eukaryota; Viridiplantae; Streptophyta; Magnoliopsida; Rosales; Rosaceae
Description: long non-coding RNA (FVES_LNC004292)
Source: RNAcentral
CUUACGAAGAUGACCCGUUCGUUUUUGCCACAUCGGUAAAACAAGUGUUUUAUCUUGAUGACCUUACUAAGGGUGACGCGUGGAAAGUAGUCAACCUUGUGCACCCUCGAAACAUUUACCGGGCGGCUACACUUGGAGAGGCCGAAGACCAAGAAGAAGAUGUUGCGUAUCAAGAGCCCAACGCAAUAGGUAUUCCUAACUCCUCUACCGUUCGCCUUAAUAAUUUUAAAGCGGGUCGUUCGGUGCGAAUUCGUGAUGAAGAGCCAAGGCUUAUUGAUGUUGAUACCAAAUACAAGAAACAGACGAAGACUCUGGCGAUGAGGAAAGACAUAUAUUACCAUAAAUUAAUUCUGACACCGAAGAAGACUCAUCAGAUGAUUCUGAUUACGAGCCUUAGUUUUAAUUUAGAGGACGUAAUCCAUUAAUUUGUAUAACUAAAGACAUUUUCCUUUAUAGUUUACAUAUAUUGAAUUCAUAUUUCAGUUAUUUUAUAUGAAUUUUGGUGAUAUAUGAUGAACAGGAAGUUAGUAUGGUUUACUAAUACCUUCUGUUUUUUUUAAUGUAUUUUUUUCCUUUAGCCGACGAAAUACACCAUAAUUCAUUGGCUAAAACCAUCUUAGCCGACGAAUUAUAGUGUAUUUUGUCGGCUAAAACCAUCUUAGCCGACGAAAUAUACUAUAUUUCGUUGGUUAAGAUGGUUUUAGCCGACGAAUAACCUAAUAUUUCGUCGGCUUUAGUUAUUUUUUAAUUUUUUAAUUACAUACUAUAGCCGACGAAUACGUUAGGGUAUUCGUCGGCUAAACCCUAAAAUUUUUCUAUCACAUACUAUAGCCCUAUUUUCGGUGGUUAUUUUCCGUAAAAUCUUUAGACGACUUCUUGCGUCUCAUCGGUUUGAAACUAUUUUCAGUUGGAGGUCCGGCCAAAAUACGUAAUUUAGACGGUCGAACAACCUUUUCCGUGCAUUUAGGGGUUUGACUUACGGGAUUGAGCGUCCGGAUCGAGCUCUUAACCUUGUCGGAUCAAGUUGAAUUUUUUCCCAUACAUAUAUUUUGUCAUGAUGGUCAGAUCUGACGGUCGGAUUUCUGUUUCUCAAGUUUGAUCAUCACAAUCAAAACACGCCUACUAAUGUUGUAUAACUUGUUUACCAAGUGUUAUGUAAAUGUUCCGUUUACAAAAACAAACUAUAACGUAAAACCUU